Molecule: long non-coding RNA, 529 nt
Organism: Xiphophorus hellerii (green swordtail)
Lineage: Eukaryota; Metazoa; Chordata; Actinopteri; Cyprinodontiformes; Poeciliidae
Exons: 2
Source: RefSeq, a predicted model, not a curated record
AACGGAAGAUGGUUGGCAGCCAGAUGAUGUGGAGCAUCACCGCCACCUACUGGUCUGGAGGGGAAUCAGGAGUUUAUAACCCGGGAUGGCAGAGGCAUUGGAGGUCACGUGCCCCGGAUACCCAGAGAUGCCCCACUGUAGCGACGCAGGUGUUCUGCAUCUAUUUAUCUAGCAUGCAGACUGGAAAGGACAGAAGAAGACAAUACAUGGCUAGAUAAGGAGCAGAUGAACCCGGGGUGGCCAUGUUGUUGGAGUUGGGGGAUGAUGCAGGUGGACCAGAGGACUAGAGACGGGGAGACUGGUCGGCGUUGAGAAGCGGGAGGCUGGAUCGUUGUCGAGGUUCGACAGGAACUGGAGGAUUGGUCGGAUCGAGCCAAGAAAGGGUUGGGAGCAGUGGAGGGUCGCGCCCUUUUCCCUUUGACCAGCUAAGAGUCCACAUUACAGACUUGUUUAUUGACUUAUCGUCAAGGACUGCCGCACCUCCUUCUCUUUUAUUAUUCGUCUUUGAAAUAAAUUAUUGUAAAUUUUA